CAAGUCGAACGGGAUUUCUUUUGGUAGCAAUACCGAAAGAAGUCUAGUGGCGAACGGGUGCGUAACACGUGGGCAAUCUGCCUUAAAGUGGGGGAUAGCUCGGCGAAAGCCGAAUUAAUACCGCAUGUGAUCAGGGGAGACAUCUUCCCGAAAUCAAAAGUGGCGCAAGCUACUGCUUUUUGAGGAGCCCGCGGCCUAUCAGCUAGUUGGUGAGGUGAUGGCUCACCAAGGCUUUGACGGGUAGCUGGUCUGAGAGGACGACCAGUCACACUGGAACUGAGACACGGUCCAGACACCUACGGGUGGCAGCAGUCGAGAAUUUUUCUCAAUGGGGGAAACCCUGAAGGAGCGACGCCGCGUGGAGGAUGAAGGUCUUCGGGUUGUAAACUCCUGUCAUUUGGGAACAAGUCGUACGUAGUAACUAUACGUGCGUUGAUAGUACCAGAAGAGGAAGGGACGGCUAACUCUGUGCCAGCAGCCGCGGUAAUACAGAGGUCCCAAGCGUUGUUCGGAUUCAUUGGGCGUAAAGGGUGUGUAGGUGGCGCCGUAAGUCGGGUGUGAAAUUUCGGAGCUUAACUCCGAAACUGCAUUCGAUACUGCGGUGCUUGAGGACUGGAGAGGAGACUGGAAUUCAUGGUGUAGCAGUGAAAUGCGUAGAGAUCAUGAGGAAGACCAGUGGCGAAGGCGGGUCUCUGGACAGUUCCUGACACUGAGACACGAAGGCCAGGGGAGCAAACGGGAUUAGAUACCCCGGUAGUCCUGGCAGUAAACGGUGCACGUUUGGUGUGGGAGGAUUCGACCCCUUCUGCGCCGGAGCUAACGCGUUAAACGUGCCGCCUGGGGAGUACGGUCGCAAGAUUAAAACUCAAAGAAAUUGACGGGGGCCCGCACAAGCGGUGGA
This 901-nucleotide ribosomal RNA is filed under the name uncultured Verrucomicrobiota bacterium. RNAcentral's name for it is "bacterial SSU rRNA". It matches the Rfam family "Bacterial small subunit ribosomal RNA", at positions 58 to 936 of the family's 1533-position model. The record is from RNAcentral. Lineage: Bacteria; Pseudomonadati; Verrucomicrobiota.